This 73-nucleotide transfer RNA is filed under the name Desmophyllum pertusum. Its description in RNAcentral is "tRNA-Gln". Lineage: Eukaryota; Metazoa; Cnidaria; Anthozoa; Scleractinia; Caryophylliidae. The record is from RNAcentral.
GGCACAGUGGCCUAGUGGUUAGCGCAUUGGACUCUGGAUCGAGUGGUCUGGGUUUGAGCCCUGACCUGGGUCA